GAGGCCUACCAUGGUGGUAACGGGUAACGGGGUGUUAGGGCACGACACCGGAGAGGGAGCCUGAGAAACGGCUACCACAUCCAAGGAUGGCAGCAGGCGCGCAAAUUACCCAAUCCCGACACGGGGAGGUAGUGACAAUAAAUAACAAUACGGGGUUCUUUAGGAUCUCGUAAUUGGAAUGAGUACAAUUUAAAUCUCUUAACGAGGAACAAUUGGAGGGCAAGUCUGGUGCCAGCAGCCGCGGUAAUUCCAGCUCCAAUAGCGUAUAUUAAAGUUGUUGCAGUUAAAAAGCUCGUAGUUGAAUUUCGGGGUUAGUAGGUUGGUCAUGCCUCUGGUAUGUACUGGUCUCACUGAUUCCUCCUUCCUUAUGAACCGUAAUGCCAUUAAUUUGGUGUUGCGGGGAAUUUGGACUGUUACUUUGAAAAAAUUAGAGUGUUUAAAGCAAGCUAACGCUUGAAUACAUUAGCAUGGAAUAAUGAAAUAGGACGUUCGAUCUUAUUUUGUUGGUUUCUGGGAUUGACGUAAUGAUUAAUAGGGAUAGUUGGGGGCAUUAGUAUUCAAUUGUCAGAGGUGAAAUUCUCGGAUUUAUUGAAGACUAACUACUGCGAAAGCAUUUGCCAAGGAUGUUUUCAUUAAUCAAGAACGAAAGUUAGGGGAUCGAAGACGAUCAGAUACCGUCGUAGUCUUAACCAUAAACUAUGCCGACUAGGGAUCGGAUGA
Molecule: ribosomal RNA, 720 nt
Filed under: uncultured fungus
Lineage: Eukaryota; Fungi
Description: SSU rRNA
Rfam family: Eukaryotic small subunit ribosomal RNA
Source: RNAcentral